UGGGGAAUAUUGGACAAUGGGGGCAACCCUGAUCCAGCAAUGCCGCGUGGAUGAAGAAGGUUUUCGGAUUGUAAAGUCCUUUCGGCGGGGACGAUGAUGACGGUACCCGCAGAAGAAGCCCCGGCUAACUUCGUGCCAGCAGCCGCGGUAAUACGAAGGGGGCUAGCGUUGCUCGGAAUGACUGGGCGUAAAGGGCGCGUAGGCGGUUUGUUUCGUUAGGCGUGAAAUUCCUGGGCUCAACCUGGGGACUGCGCUUAAGACAAGCAGACUGGAGUGUGAAAGAGGGUCGUGGAAUUCCCAGUGUAGAGGUGAAAUUCGUAGAUAUUGGGAAGAACACCGGUGGCGAAGGCGGCGACCUGGUUCAUUACUGACGCUGAGGCGCGAAAGCGUGGGGAGCAAACAGGAUUAGAUACCCCCGUAGUCC
This 424-nucleotide ribosomal RNA is filed under the name uncultured bacterium. Its description in RNAcentral is "bacterial SSU rRNA". It matches the Rfam family "Bacterial small subunit ribosomal RNA", at positions 355 to 796 of the family's 1533-position model. The record is from RNAcentral.